UUUUGCACACAUCUUUCAUAGGAAGAAGGAAAGUUGUUAUUUCCGCUAGACUAAUUUCUCAUGGCUGACAUCGAGGAGUAUGAGAAAGAUGAACCUGAAACCAUCGAGGAUGGAAACCAAAGUUUAAUACAAAAAUUGUGGUUACUUUUCCCAGAAAGUUUUCGUAAUGUUUCUUAUGUUGUGUUUACUCAGACUUGCAAUGCAUUUAAAGCAUUUUAUAAUUUUGGACGAACUGCUACAUGGUUGUUUUUUAGCACAUCUAUACUUAUUUUCAUUCCUGUUAUACUUGAAGUGGAAAGAGCUGAAAUUGAAAAUGAACAACGAAGACAUCAGAGUCAGGUGCUGUUCUAAAGUAUUAAAAAGACAGAAGGGAAAAUCAAACAAAAUUAAUCACAAAAGUUUAUAUCAAUGGUUUACACAUGUCCUCAAAAAAUUAAGAACACAGGUUCUUUAUCUCUGUAUCAUAUGAAAGAACAGUGAAGAAGAUGGACAUCAGUACCUUCUACUAAGCAAAAGCUUUUAUUUGGAUCAAAUUCUCCUGUGACACAAUUUGUGUCAUCAAUGCAGCGAUUUGAAGACUGAAAAGCACUUCAGCAGUCUCUCCUUGGAAACAAAAUUUAUUUAUUGAUGUGUUCAGUUAGUUUUGUUUUAAUGGUUGCUGUUUAUUUUCUAAAAGACCUUUUUCUGAGAUUGUAAAACACAUUAGAAAGUAUCAUUUGGUUGUUUCUUAAAUGCUUAUGGGUUCAUGCCUUGUUAAAUAAAUUUGUGAAGGGUAGUGGAAAGUAAGGUAUUUUCUUUGUCCUGUUGUUUAAGAGAAUGUGAAUGUGCAAUUUCCUAAAAAGUAUAA
Schistocerca gregaria is the source of this 847-nucleotide RNA transcript. It is a transcript of the gene named mitochondrial import receptor subunit TOM22 homolog, with no coding region annotated. The transcript is spliced from 5 exons. The record is from RefSeq and is a predicted model, not a curated record. NCBI's taxonomy places the organism in Eukaryota, Metazoa, Arthropoda, Insecta, Orthoptera, Acrididae.